This is a long non-coding RNA of Poecilia reticulata (guppy), 499 nucleotides long. RefSeq lists it as uncharacterized. The record is from RefSeq and is a predicted model, not a curated record. NCBI's taxonomy places the organism in Eukaryota, Metazoa, Chordata, Actinopteri, Cyprinodontiformes, Poeciliidae.
GAAUCUGAGAAAAGCCGAGAGGAGGAAGAAAAGAAAAAGAAGAAGAAGAAUAAAAAAAACGGCAUCACUCACUGGUGAGAGAAGAUUUGUUUUGCUCGAAAGACAUGAGAUUAUAAGAAGUCAGAGAAGACCAGAGGAGGAAUUGCAGGCUGAUGUGUCUUUCGUCCUCUCAACAUUUCUUGGAUGAUGUUGAAAACAACACCCAGGUCCCGCUUUAGCACCUGCUGAGAGAUGAAUGGAUGAAAACGAGGAAACUGGCUGGGUUGGCAGGGAAAAGACAGGGAGACGGAAUCGUGUUUAUCGGCCUGGAGGAGGACGACACUGAGAAGCAUGGAGGCGUAUCAUAAACAAGGUUGCACCGUUUGUGGGUCUCUCGGGCAACAUCCAUUAGGCGAAACGGGGAGAAGCUGCGUGCCGGCGAAACCAGGGCAAUGCAUAUUCCCUUUCCGAAACCCACAGAAACACCAUUCUGGAAUCAUUAUGCUAUCACAGCGCUCGC